CGAGAUUCCCCCAGUAGCGGCGAGCGAACGGGGAGCAGCCCAGAGCCUGAAUCAGUGUGUGUGUUAGUGGAAGCGUCUGGAAAGGCGCGCGAUACAGGGUGACAGCCCCGUACACAAAAAUGCACAUGCUGUGAGCUCGAUGAGUAGGGCGGGACACGUGGUAUCCUGUCUGAAUAUGGGGGGACCAUCCUCCAAGGCUAAAUACUCCUGA
This 211-nucleotide ribosomal RNA is filed under the name Escherichia coli. RNAcentral describes it as "partial 23S ribosomal RNA". It matches the Rfam family "Bacterial large subunit ribosomal RNA", at positions 230 to 479 of the family's 2925-position model. The record is from RNAcentral. Lineage: Bacteria; Pseudomonadati; Pseudomonadota; Gammaproteobacteria; Enterobacterales; Enterobacteriaceae.